AUACAGAGGGUGCGAGCGUUAAUCGGAAUUACUGGGCGUAAAGGGUGCGUAGGCGGCUUGAUAAGUCGGAUGUGAAAGCCCCGGGCUUAACCUGGGAAUUGCAUUCGAUACUGUCAGGCUAGAGUAUGUCAGAGGUUGGCGGAAUUCCUGGUGUAGCGGUGAAAUGCGUAGAUAUCAGGAGGAACACCAGUGGCGAAGGCGGCUAACUGGGGCAAUACUGACGCUGAGGCACGAAAGCGUGGGGAGCAAACAGGAUUAGAUACCCUAGUAGUCC
This 274-nucleotide ribosomal RNA is filed under the name uncultured bacterium. RNAcentral describes it as "partial 16S ribosomal RNA". It matches the Rfam family "Bacterial small subunit ribosomal RNA", at positions 523 to 796 of the family's 1533-position model. The record is from RNAcentral.